RNAcentral lists this ribosomal RNA (400 nucleotides) under uncultured bacterium. RNAcentral describes it as "bacterial SSU rRNA". It matches the Rfam family "Bacterial small subunit ribosomal RNA", at positions 356 to 773 of the family's 1533-position model. The record is from RNAcentral.
GGGGAAUAUUGCACAAUGGGCGAAAGCCUGAUGCAGCGACGCCGCGUGAGUGAAGAAGUAUUUCGGUAUGUAAAGCUCUAUCAGCAGGGAAGAAAAUGACGGUACCUGACUAAGAAGCCCCGGCUAACUACGUGCCAGCAGCCGCGGUAAUACGUAGGGGGCAAGCGUUAUCCGGAUUUACUGGGUGUAAAGGGAGCGUAGACGGCGAAGCAAGUCUGAAGUGAAAACCCAGGGCUCAACCCUGGGACUGCUUUGGAAACUGUUUUGCUAGAGUGUCGGAGAGGUAAGUGGAAUUCCUAGUGUAGCGGUGAAAUGCGUAGAUAUUAGGAGGAACACCAGUGGCGAAGGCGGCUUACUGGACGAUAACUGACGUUGAGGCUCGAAAGCGUGGGGAGCAAAC